GAGGUGAUAGAGAAAGGAGCUGGCUGGGCACUUGGAAAACUAAACCACUGUUCCUGGGAUGACAAAUACAUGAAAUGCUGGCCACGUAUAAAACGGGAGGGGAAAAGUACAUCUCGCUGCUUUAAGAAUAUGUCAUAGGAACCAAGAUUCCUUUUCCAGCCUAUGGCCCUUUGCUGCAUGUUCCUUCCGCAGUGCAUCAGUGACAUCUGCUAACAGUGGGGUCCCCAUCUGUUCCCAAGUACAGGGCAUCCAGGACAGCACAGAGCCACAGCAAGAAGAGGGAGUAGUCCAGCGCUGGUGAGGUCUAAGAGGGCCCAGGGUGGCAGCAGCUGGGCACAGCUGGGCCCACAGGAACCUUGCCAUGACUUCAGCAGGAUCGCCAGAAAGAAGCCUGGUGUAACUUGCCAAGUGAAAGAGAUGGAGUGGAAAGAGCCUUGUAGACAAUGGAGAGCCACC
This 456-nucleotide long non-coding RNA is filed under the name Dasypus novemcinctus (nine-banded armadillo). RNAcentral's name for it is "lncRNA (ENSDNOG00000050953.1)". The record is from RNAcentral. Lineage: Eukaryota; Metazoa; Chordata; Mammalia; Cingulata; Dasypodidae.